This 1552-nucleotide ribosomal RNA is filed under the name human gut metagenome. RNAcentral describes it as "bacterial LSU rRNA". It matches the Rfam family "Bacterial large subunit ribosomal RNA", at positions 842 to 2409 of the family's 2925-position model. The record is from RNAcentral.
GAGAUAGCUGGUUCUCCCCGAAAUAGCUUUAGGGCUAGCGUCGAGAGAAGAGUUGCGUGAAGGUAGAGCACUGAAUAUGUGAUGGCCCCAUCUCGGGGUACUGAGCAUAAUCAAACUGCGAAUGUCACGCCAACAUGCUCGGCAGUCAGACAGCGGGUGAUAAGGUCCGUUGUCAAGAGGGAAACAGCCCAGACCAUCAGCUAAGGUCCCAAAAUGUAUGCUAAGUGGAAAAGGAUGUGGAGAUGUACAGACAACUAGGAGGUUGGCUCAGAAGCAGCCAUCCUUUAAAGAGUGCGUAACAGCUCACUAGUCGAAUGACUCUGCGCCGAUAAUUUACCGGGGCUAAGCAUACUACCGAAGCUAUGGAUCCCAAGGGAUGGUAGGGGAGCGUUCCAUGAACGGAGAAGUACGACCGAAAGGACGUGUGGAGAUCAUGGAAGAGAGAAUGCCGGUGUGAGUAGCGGAACGUGGGUGAGAAUCCCACGCACCGAAAACCCAAGGUUUCCAGAGGAAGGUUCGUCCGCUCUGGGUAAGUCGGGACCUAAGGCGAGGCCGAAAGGCGUAGUCGAUGGACAACAGGUAGAGAUUCCUGUACCCGUAUAUAUGUGAAGGAAUGACGGAGAGAGGAAGCUGCAGCCAGCGGCUGGAAGAGCUGGUGCAAGCGAGAUAUCGGGAUGGCAGGCAAAUCCACCAUCCGAAACGAGAAGGCGUGAAGCGUACGGAAAGCUACGGCGAGUACGGAAGGCAGUGGAGGAACUUCCAAGAAAAGUUUCUAACGUUAAGUAUAUAUGGCCCGUACCGAAAAUGGACACACAUGGGUGAGGAGAGAAUCCUAAGGUGAGCGAGAGAACUAUAGCUAAGGAACUCUGCAAAAUGACUCCGUAACUUAGGGAGAAGGAGUGCUCAUAGAGAUAUGAGCCGCAGUGAAACGGCCCAAGCGACUGUUUACCAAAAACACAGCUCUCUGCUAAGCCGCAAGGCGAAGUAUAGGGGGUGACGCCUGCCCGGUGCUGGAAGGUUAAGGGGAGGGGUUAACGCAAGUGAAGCCCUGAACUGAAGCCCCAGUAAACGGCGGCCGUAACUAUAACGGUCCUAAGGUAGCGAAAUUCCUUGUCAGGUAAGUUCUGACCCGCACGAAAGGCGUAACGAUUUGGGCGCUGUCUCAGCUGUAGACUCGGUGAAGUCUUAGUACCUGUGAAGAUGCAGGUUACCCGCGACUAGACGGAAAGACCCCAUGGAGCUUCACUGCAGGUUGAUAUUGGGAUUUGAUGCAGCAUGUACAGGAUAGGUAGGAGGCAAAGAGAUGGAUACGCCAGUAUUCAAGGAGCCGCUGUUGGGAUACUACCCCUGUUGUAUUGGAUUUCUAACCGGACGACGUAGAGCCGUUGACGGGACAGUGUCAGUCGGGCAGUUUGACUGGGGCGGUCGCCUCCCAAAGAGUAACGGAGGCGCCCAAAGAUACCCUCAGCUUGGAUGGAAACCAAGCGCAGAGUGCAAAGGCAAAAGGGUGUUUGACUGCGAGACCUACAAGUCGAGCAGGGACGAAAGUCGG